CUGGUUGAUCCUGCCAGACCCGACUGCUAUCGGAUUGGGACUAAGCCAUGCGAGUCAACUCCGCAAGGGGUGGCGCACGGCUCAGUAACACGUAGUCAACCUACCCUGGGGACGGGGAUAACCUCGGGAAACUGAGGCUAAACCCCGAUGGGCCAUGGCUCCUGGAAUGGGCUAUGGCAGAAAUCUACAUGGCCCCAGGAUGGGACUGCGGCCGAUCAGGUUGUUGGUGGGGUAAUGGCCCACCAAGCCUAUAACCGGUGCGGGCUCUGAGAGGAGGAGCCCGGAGAUGGGCACUGAGACAAGGGCCCAGGUCCUAUGGGGCGCAGCAGGCGCGAAACCUCCGCAAUGGGCGAAAGCCCGACGGGGUCAGUCCGAGUGGUUCCCGCUGAGGGAACCUUUUGCCAGCUGUAAACAGGCUGGCGAAUAAGGGGUGGGCAAGUUUGGUGUCAGCCGCCGCGGUAAUACCAGCACCCCGAGUGGUCGGGACGAUUAUUGGGCCUAAAGCAUCCGUAGCCGGCCCAGUAAGUCCUCCGUUAAAUCCAACGGCUCAACCGUUGGGCUGCGGGGGAUACUGCUGGGCUAGGGGACGGGAGAGGCGAGGGGUAUUCCCGGGGUAGGGGUAAAAUCCACUGAUCCCGGGAGGACCACCAGUGGCGAAGGCGCCUCGCUAGAACGUGCCCGACGGUGAGGGAUGAAAGCUGGGGGAGCGAACCGGAUUAGAUACCCGGGUAGUCCCAGCCGUAAACGAUGUAGGCUCGGUGUUGGGCUGCCUCAGUGGCAGCCCAGUGCCGCAGGGAAGCCGUUAAGCCUACCGCCUGGGGAGUACGGCCGCAAGGCUGAAACUUAAAGGAAUUGGCGGGGGAGCACCAC
This 870-nucleotide ribosomal RNA is filed under the name uncultured archaeon. RNAcentral describes it as "bacterial SSU rRNA". It matches the Rfam family "Archaeal small subunit ribosomal RNA", at positions 4 to 882 of the family's 1478-position model. The record is from RNAcentral.